GCUGUGACAGAGAGAGGUUAAGUCACUACGUGAAACAAAUUUACUAUCAUCUCUCUCCGCCAGAAUAUUUUUACUGAAAUUGAUAUUCGAAAAUAAAUAUUCACUAGUGUUUCUUUACUUUGAAACAGAUAUUUUUGGAAGCAGGAUGUUUUUUAAUGGUUGGAUGCCCUCUCGAAACUUCGAUUUUUUUAUUUAUGAAGAACUAGACGCUGUGCAUGACACAGCAGUGGUAAGUGGUGGCUUAGCUCUGAAGCCUAACAUGUCCAUAUUUCGACGCCCUCAGCCGCGUCAACUUAAAAUCUUGCCUUAAGCCCUAUGUCUUGAGGAACAGCCUAUCGCAGGACCUCGCCCCCGAAAGAUGGCCUUAUCUUCAUGGAACGCCACUCGCAAGCUCACUAGUUUUUUCUGUAAUUGAUCUUGUUCAAGAAUGUGUGGCGGCAGUAACAUCUGUUUCCCUUAAGGCUGAAAGCAUCAAAAAGGACGAUAAAUUAAAAUGAGAUAGUCAACAUCAUUUCAAAAUUUCAACCCCAAAAAAAAAGAAACCCAAACAAAAAAAGAAAUUAUUAUUGUUAAUCAUAUGACGGCAAAGGUGGUUUCUACAUCAAAAACAAUUCAAAAAAAAAUUUGUCGAAGAUACCAGCCAUCAAGGAUGUAAAGAGAGUCUUGGUAAAAGUUCACAAAAUUGGUUUCCCUUGCAGAAAAUUUCUGAUUACCAAAAAUGGGCUAAUGAAACAUUAACCCAUCAGAUCGCUUAGGAUUGAAUUAUUUAUAAAAAUGCGCCAGUGUACUUGUAGAGAUGACAAGCGCCAUUUAAUAUACAUGUACGAAACUUAUAAUCAAUUAUCUGAUACUCAGAAUAAAGCAUGGGGGCUUGGAAGUUAUUACAAAACCGAUAGCCAAAAGACCACGCGCUUUUACAGUGCAUGCGGAUCAUGAAAACGGAUUUGUUCUUAACGAAUACGUCAGUUGGAAAUCAAAUAUCCACAAGUGGCGACUACCAUCUUGAAAUGAAUUACAAAAAUUGUAAAAAGUGGGUCACGGAGAAUCUGAUUUCAAAUUUAAAUCCAAGAACUAUGGUUGUAAUUAAUAACGCCUCAUAUCACAAUAAACAACUAGGAAAAGCACCAACAAAUUUGUCAAGCAAUGUAGAAAUGCAAGAAUGAUACCGACUUAGAGAGAUGAUAAAUCUAUGUUAAAGCCACAAUUGUAUAAUAUAAUAAAGCUUUACAAACCAAAAUAUAAGUUCUAUAAAAUAUGUGAACUCUUUUAUAAAAAAGGACAUGACGUGUUACGAUUACCACUAUAUCAUCCAGAUCUAAACCCGAUCGAGUUAGUUUGGGCUAAUUUAAAACGAUAUGUGGCAAACAAAAACGUAAAUUUAAGUUUUUAUCAGGUUGUGGGAUACUAUGAUGACUUUUUAAAUAAUUUUCACUUGAUAAAUAGCAAUCUUGUUGCGAUCAUGCAAAAAAAUUGAACAAGGAUAUAUUUCAAAAGAAUAAUCUGUAAAUAUUGUAAACAGUGAAUUAUCUAGAAUAGAGAAAUUAUAUGAGGAGGAUUAUGGACCACAAAACUUAACUGUCAAAGAGGACAAAACCUACGUUAAUUUGUAAAUUCUACUUUAAAAUAUAUAAUAUAUUUCUGAAUAAUA
RNAcentral lists this long non-coding RNA (1648 nucleotides) under Anthonomus grandis grandis. RNAcentral's name for it is "uncharacterized LOC126735638". The record is from RNAcentral. Lineage: Eukaryota; Metazoa; Arthropoda; Insecta; Coleoptera; Curculionidae.